Molecule: ribosomal RNA, 492 nt
Filed under: uncultured bacterium
Lineage: Bacteria
Description: partial 16S ribosomal RNA
Rfam family: Bacterial small subunit ribosomal RNA
Source: RNAcentral
AGUGAACGCUGGCGGUAGGCCUAACACAUGCAAGUCGGACGGCAGCACAGUAAGAGCUUGCUCUUACGGGUGGCGAGUGGCGGACGGGUGAGGAAUACAUCGGAAUCUACUUUUUCGUGGGGGAUAACGUAGGGAAACUUACGCUAAUACCGCAUACGACCUACGGGUGAAAGCAGGGGAUCUUCGGACCUUGCGCGAUUGAAUGAGCCGAUGUCGGAUUAGCUAGUUGGCGGGGUAAAGGCCCACCAAGGCGACGAUCCGUAGCCGGUCUGAGAGGAUGAUCAGCCACACUGGAACUGAGACACGGUCCAGACUCCUACGGGAGGCAGCAGUGGGGAAUAUUGGACAAUGGGCGCAAGCCUGAUCCAGCCAUACCGCGUGGGUGAAGAAGGCCUUCGGGUUGUAAAGCCCUUUUGUUGGGAAAGAAAAGCAGCAGGUUAAUACCCCGCUGUUCUGACGGUACCCAAAGAAUAAGCACCGGCUAACUUCGUG